GGGAAUAUGGCUUAGUAGUAGAGUGCUUGCCUAGCAUGCAUGAAGCCCUAGGUUCGAUUCCUCACUACCA
Molecule: transfer RNA, 70 nt
Filed under: Dipodomys ordii (Ord's kangaroo rat)
Lineage: Eukaryota; Metazoa; Chordata; Mammalia; Rodentia; Heteromyidae
Rfam family: tRNA
About the family: Transfer RNA (tRNA) molecules are approximately 80 nucleotides in length. Their secondary structure includes four short double-helical elements and three loops (D, anti-codon, and T loops).
Source: Rfam by way of RNAcentral